GACGAACGCUGGCGGCGUGCUUAACACAUGCAAGUCGAACGGAAAGGCCCUGCUUUUGUGGGGUGCUCGAGUGGCGAACGGGUGAGUAACACGUGAGUAACCUGCCCUUGACUUUGGGAUAACUUCAGGAAACUGGGGCUAAUACCGGAUAGGAGCUCCUGCUGCAUGGUGGGGGUUGGAAAGUUUCGGCGGUUGGGGAUGGACUCGCGGCUUAUCAGCUUGUUGGUGGGGUAGUGGCUUACCAAGGCUUUGACGGGUAGCCGGCCUGAGAGGGUGAUCGGCGACAGGGCGAGGGAGAUGGGGCGCAGAGUGGUGAGGGGGGCGGCAGGGGGGAAGAGUGCGCAGGGGGGGGGAGCGUGGUGCAGCAGGGCGGGGUGCGGGGGGAAGGCCCGGGGUGGGUCAACGGCGUGCGCGGGGGAGGAGGCGGGAGUGGUGGGAAGGGAAAAGGAGGAACGGGCAAACUGGGGGCAAGCGGCCGGGGGAUAGUCGGAAGAGCCCACGUCUGAAC
Molecule: ribosomal RNA, 508 nt
Filed under: uncultured bacterium
Lineage: Bacteria
Description: partial 16S ribosomal RNA
Rfam family: Bacterial small subunit ribosomal RNA (bases 20-332)
Source: RNAcentral